This 465-nucleotide ribosomal RNA is filed under the name uncultured bacterium. RNAcentral's name for it is "partial 16S ribosomal RNA". It matches the Rfam family "Bacterial small subunit ribosomal RNA", at positions 28 to 507 of the family's 1533-position model. The record is from RNAcentral.
GAUGAACGCUGGCGGCGUGCUUAACACAUGCAAGUCGAACGGAAAGGCCCCUGCUUGCAGGGGUACUCGAGUGGCGAACGGGUGAGUAACAAGUGGGUGAUCUGCCCUGCACUUCGGGAUAAGCCUGGGAAACUGGGUCUAAUAACGGAUCGGACGAUGGUUUGGAUGCCAUUGUGGAAAGUUUUUCGGUGUGGGAUGAGCUCGCGGCCUAUCAGCUUGUUGGUGGGGUAAUGGCAUACCAAGGCGUCGACGGGUAGCCGGCCUGAGAGGGUGUCCGGCCACAUUGGGACUGAGAUACGGCCCAGACUCCUACGGGAGGCAGCAGUGGGGAAUAUUGCACAAUGGGCGCAAGCCUGAUACAGCGACGCCGCGUGGGGGAUGACGGCCUUCGGGUUGUAAACUCCUUUCGGUAGGUACGAAGCGCAAGUGACGGUACCUGGAGAAGAAGCACCGGCUAACUACGUG